CAAAAACCAAUCAGGCCGGAUCAGCCAGGCGUUGAUUCUCCCUCCGUCCCUCCUACACCUUUUCCAGAGGCCCAAUGGCCUUGUCCCUUUGGGAGAUUGACUAGAGUCACAUGAGCUGCACCAAGGGCAGGUAACUCAGGAGAGGGGAAGGGGAAGAGGGAAGGAAAAAAAAAGAGAGAGAGAGAGAGAGGAAAAAAAAAAACCCAAGCCCAGACUGAGCUUCUGCCAUGAUGUCAGAGGGAAAGAAAGCCACAGCUUGCUAAUUUCACCUCCCAAUCGGCCCCGGGAAGGAGAUCACCGGGAACAGUUGUUUCCCCCUGUGGUCAUGACGGCUUCGCACAGUGACUCUUUGGUGGUGUUGUUUGGGGCAACAGCUGGUGCAUAUGGGGCUAAACUGGGUUCGGAUGAGAGGGAACUAAUUCUCUUGGUGUGGCAAGUUGUGGAUCUACAGAACAAGAAGGUAGGGACACUACACAAAUCCCUGGUGAAAGCAGACAACUUGGACUUAAGUGACCAGUGUCGCGAAGUCAGUGGCUUAACACCAGAGGGACUGGGCAAAGCUGAACCACUGGACCGGGUUCUUCAACAGUUUAGUCAGCUGGUAUCCAGUGAUUUGAAAGUACUUGGAAGGAGCUCUUACACACUCUGCAGUGAUGGCCAGUUACUCAUCCGACAAGUUCUCCACCCGGAAACAUCCAAGAAGAACUUCUUGUUGUCAGACUGCUUCUAUUCCUUUUAUGAUCUGCGCAAAGAAUUCCACACUUGCUACCCUAGUUCAGCCGCCGUGAAAGAUCAGACUAUCAAGACCAUGGCAGAAUAUCUAGGCUUAGGGACAGAUGAAGCAGAGGAGGACUUUGGCGUGUGGCAAGUGAAGACCAUGGUGGCUAUCAUUUUCAGCAUGCUUUCAGAAGGUUGUAAUCACGUAUUUACUGAGCCUGAAACUGUGAAACACAAGUAUGAAACAGGUCCUUGUAGUAAAUCUGAAACUGUGGACAGUGAGACAGUAAUACGUGCCAGAGGUUUGCCAUGGCAGUCUUCAGACCAGGAUAUCGCUCGAUUUUUCAAAGGACUCAACAUUGCCAAAGGUGGUGUGGCUCUUUGCCUGAAUUCCCAAGGAAGAAGAAAUGGGGAGGCUUUGGUUCGGUUUGUCAAUUCUGAACAGAGAGACCUUGCCCUGGAAAGGCACAAGCAUCACAUGGGUAGCAGAUACAUUGAGGUUUACAAGGCAACUGGGGAAGAAUUCUUAAAAAUUGCAGGAGGCACCUCCAAUGAAGUGGCCCAGUUCUUAUCCAAGGAGAAUCAAGUUAUCAUCAGGAUGAGAGGCCUUCCAUUCACUGCUACCCAGGAAGAUGUCUUGGGGUUCCUUGGGCCAGAGUGCCCAGUCACAGGAGGGAAAGAGGGACUUCUCUUUGUCAAGUACCCAGAUGGCAGACCCACAGGAGAUGCAUUUGUGUUAUUUUCCUGUGAAGAAUAUGCACAGAAUGCACUUAAAAAGCACAAAGAAAUACUUGGAAAACGUUACAUUGAACUCUUCAGGAGCACGGCAGCAGAGGUCCAACAGGUACUUAAUAGAUACAUGUCAACUCCUCUUAUUCCAACUCUUCCAACUCCCAUCAUUCCGGUCAUCCCCCCACCGUACACCAUUGCCACGGGCAGCGUCCGCGACUGCGUGCGGCUCAGGGGUCUUCCCUACACUGCUGGCAUUGAUGACAUCUUGGAAUUUAUGGGAGAUGCCACGGGGGAUAUCAAGCCCCAUGGAGUUCACAUGGUCCUUAAUCAGCAGGGACGGCCGUCAGGUGAUGCUUUUAUUCAAAUGAAAUCUGCUGACAAAGCCUUUAUGGUGGCUCAAAAAUGUCACAAAAAAAUGAUGAAGGACCGUUAUGUGGAAGUAUUCCAGUGUUCUGGAGAGGAGAUGAACUUUGUUUUAAUGGGUGGCACUUUAAAUCGUAGUGGCUUAUCCCCACCGCCAUGUAAGUUACCAUGUCUUUCUCCACCAGCUUAUGCUGCUUUCCAAACAGCAGCUGUGAUCCCAGCAGAGGCAGCAGCCCUUUACCAGCCACAAGCCCUCCUGCCAUCCACCAGGACGCCCCAGGCCUCUGCAGCUGCUCCUCCCACUGUUACCUACUACCCAGCUCAGGCUGCUCAGCUUUACAUGAACUACACAGCUUACUAUCCCAGCCCUCCAGUAUCUCCUACCACGGUGGGAUACAUUGCAGCUCCCCCAGGAGCUGUGGCAGCUGCUGCCACUGCCACCCACACUCCCAUCCUGCCCCAGCCUGGAGCCUUGGUCCGGAUGCAGGGCUUGCCAUAUAACACAGGAAUGAAGGAGAUACUCAGUUUCUUCCAGGGGUACCAGGAUUUAUUGCACGAUGCUUCUGCUCGUUCAUAAAUAUGCACCUGAUGACUACAAUGGCCUAAUUCAGCUGAGCGAUCAAGCCAGGAGUGUGUUACAAGCACCGAAAGAGUGGGUCUGUUUGUAACUUUGUAACUUCUGAAGAAGCUCCAAGCAGAUUCCAUCCUCAUGCUUUACAAUUUUAGUGGGCAGCCCAGUGGCGAGGCGUUGGUGACUUUUCCAAGCCUGGAUCUAGCUAAGCAAGCAGUGGCUGAGAGAAACGGACAGCUCCUGGGCAGCCGCUGUGUACAACUGUACCUGGUCUAACUGAACACUCUGGAGGAUGAGGAAAGGAUGCUGCACUCAACACCGUGCCUUCUGCAAAAUAAGAAGUCUUCCCUUGCCACCCAGGCAGCAACAAAUGUGCCUUUUCAGCAUAACACAUUGGAAUGCAGCCUGGUACAUGUUCCUUUUUAAUUUGAAAGAUGGCAUCUCCUAUGCCAAAGAUAAAGUGAAACCAAAAAUUGUGCAGUUAAUUUACUUAAUUCCUAAGGUACCUGUGUAAAAAGAAGCAAAGCUGCUUCUGGCAUGCAGUUAAUUCUGAAGACAGUCCAGUAUCACUUCAGCUACCACAGCCAUGGGCAAAACUUACUCAGUAGCAUUUGAAGUGGAAAACGAUGCUUGAGUCAUUCAGAUUCUUCUGUGUUUAGUUUUUAAGUGUUUACACUUGACAAAGUGUCUCGUUCUUGUAGAGUUUAAAUGUCUUUAGAAAGGUCUUUUGAAAUGCAUGGCUUACCCAGUUCAAAGCGUAGAUCAUAUUGAUUUUUGUUUUGUUCUUGACUGGAAAAUAUCAGGAUGCUGGAUCUGGAACCAAUUGUGUUUUUUCAUGUUUUCAUUAGAUAUUGUUUUGCAAAAGCCAUAUUUGACCUUCUUACCGGUAUACUGCAGCCAAUGUGUAAAGAGCAAAAAAAUAAAAUCAACAGCAAAACCAGAAAAACCCUCUCUUCCCACCCUGCCCCAACCCCAUAUUUUUAAUCUCUACAGGACAAAAAUGGCACAUAAACCUGAGUACUAAUAAGUUAUAUUUUUUUAUUUAAGCAUAAUAGCUUUCAGAUACUGUAUUAAAGAUUUUUGCUCUAGUUUAUGUGCAUGCAAUUUGUUUACAUCUUUAAACUACUUUAUUUGUAUAUUAUGAAACAGCAAAAUAUGUUGAAAUCUGAAUUCUCUAGUGCAUGCUUUUUUCUUUUUCCCCUGUGUGCAUAUACAUAAGCUAGAAGAACUUUUACGUCAUGUAGCACGUGUUUAAAAAAAGACAUCUGCUGUAGAAGCACUAAAUGACUUUGUUUUUACUGUGCCUUACUUCUAAAUCAUUCCAAGUGCAAUACCAGCAGAGCAAAAUGUAAUGAAUUCUGUUGUUGACAUGUUCAUGGAUGUCUGAAUUGAUCUUUUUUUGUUAGUGUACAAUUUGAGUUAUACUUUAAAGAACUGAAUGAUGUAUGCUUCUUUAUAUUACAAUAAAAGAGAUGCUUACAAUGUG
Molecule: RNA transcript, 3869 nt
Organism: Serinus canaria (Common canary)
Lineage: Eukaryota; Metazoa; Chordata; Aves; Passeriformes; Fringillidae
Gene: ESRP2
Gene name: epithelial splicing regulatory protein 2
Exons: 18
Source: RefSeq, a predicted model, not a curated record